AAAGUCGUAACAAGGUUUCCGUAGGUGAACCUGCGGAAGGAUCAUUAUCGACACAGCGGACUCCGGUCCUUGCUGCACCCUUGUUUUUUUGCGUACCGUAUCGUUUCCUCGGCGGGCUUGCCUGCCGGUUGGACAACCUUAAACCUUUUUGUAAUUGCAAUCAGCGUCAGAAAAAUCAUAAUUAUUACAACUUUCAACAACGGAUCUCUUGGUUCUG
Molecule: unclassified non-coding RNA, 217 nt
Filed under: Ascomycota sp.
Lineage: Eukaryota; Fungi; Ascomycota
Description: partial contains small subunit ribosomal RNA, internal transcribed spacer 1, and 5.8S ribosomal RNA
Rfam family: Eukaryotic small subunit ribosomal RNA (bases 1-47)
Source: RNAcentral